RNAcentral lists this ribosomal RNA (492 nucleotides) under uncultured bacterium. RNAcentral describes it as "partial 16S ribosomal RNA". It matches the Rfam family "Bacterial small subunit ribosomal RNA", at positions 28 to 507 of the family's 1533-position model. The record is from RNAcentral.
GAUGAGCGCUAGCUACAGGCUUAACACAUGCAAGUCGAGGGGAAACGGCAUUGAGUGCUUGCACUCUUUGGACGUCGACCGGCGCACGGGUGAGUAACGCGUAUCCAACCUUCCCAUUACUGUGGGAUAACCUGCCGAAAGGCAGACUAAUACCGCAUAGUCUUCGAUGACUGCAUCAGAUUUGAAGUAAAGAUUUAUCGGUAAUGGAUGGGGAUGCGUCUGAUUAGCUUGUUGGCGGGGUAACGGCCCACCAAGGCUACGAUCAGUAGGGGUUCUGAGAGGAAGGUCCCCCACAUUGGAACUGAGACACGGUCCAAACUCCUACGGGAGGCAGCAGUGAGGAAUAUUGGUCAAUGGACGGAAGUCUGAACCAGCCAAGUAGCGUGCAGGAUGACGGCCCUAUGGGUUGUAAACUGCUUUUGUAUGGGGAUAAAGUUAGGGACGUGUCCCUAUUUGCAGGUACCAUACGAAUAAGGACCGGCUAAUUCCGUG